This 657-nucleotide long non-coding RNA is filed under the name Lepidothrix coronata (blue-crowned manakin). RNAcentral's name for it is "lncRNA (ENSLCOG00000002452.1)". The record is from RNAcentral. Lineage: Eukaryota; Metazoa; Chordata; Aves; Passeriformes; Pipridae.
GAAUUCAUGACAAAAUUGCAAAGGAAGAAGAGAAAACUCAGGAGCAUAUGGAGAGAAGGAUACAAGCUGUGCUUUCCCUGAAAACCAGCAUCACUUCCAACAGGGAAAAGCUCCAAACUCUCCAGGUUUUGAACAAAGCAAAGGCCUUGGAGGCAGAGAAGGAGAAGAUGAAAAUGAGGGAAGCCAUCCUAGCAGAAGGAGGCAAUGUUGUCCAGGAAAUUUUCCUCCAUAAACGACAGCUAAAGCACGAAAAAGAGGAACAAGCUUUCAGAGAACUGCAGAAAUCAAGAAAAAUUGAGAUUGUAUCUCGAAUUCUGAAAGAAGAAGCUUCUUUUCACAAGCAGAAAGAAAGUCAGUCCCGUAUUAGGGCAACUAAGGCUCGGGGUAAAGUUGAGGACCCUUCAGUGCAGAGAAAGGAAGCCUGGCCCUGCAGGGAGGAGACCUGCACACGUGCAGGUGGAGCCACAGCACAGGAGUCCUGGCUCUCUCCAUCACCUCCUUCCUUGGCUGGUGAGGGAACUGCUCCCGAGGGAGGGAGUCCUGAGGACACAGCCCAGGAUGUGCUCUGGGAAAGUGGGGAUGAUGAGAAAGAGAAGGAAAAGACCCUCUUAGAACCAGAGUUCCCGGGACUUUGGGGGCAGGAAUAUGACUUGCACA